CAGCCGCCACGGGAAUACGAGGGGGGCAAGCGUUGUUCGGAAUUAUUGGGCGUAAAGGGUGCGUAGGCGGUUUGAUAAGUCAUCUGUGAAAUCUCUGGGCUCAACCAGAGUCUGCAGGCGAAACUGUCGGGCUUGAGUAUGGGAGAGGUGAGUGGAAUUUCCGGUGUAGCGGUGAAAUGCGUAUAUAUCGGAAGGAACACCUGUGGCGAAAGCGGCUCACUGGACCAUUACUGACGCUGAUGCACGAAAGCUAGGGGAGCAAACAGGAUUAGAUACCCGCGUAGUCCCUGUCUCUUAUACA
RNAcentral lists this ribosomal RNA (301 nucleotides) under uncultured bacterium. Its description in RNAcentral is "partial 16S ribosomal RNA". It matches the Rfam family "Bacterial small subunit ribosomal RNA", at positions 509 to 808 of the family's 1533-position model. The record is from RNAcentral.